RNAcentral lists this long non-coding RNA (328 nucleotides) under Gossypium barbadense (sea-island cotton). Its description in RNAcentral is "long non-coding RNA (GBAR_LNC019008)". The record is from RNAcentral. Lineage: Eukaryota; Viridiplantae; Streptophyta; Magnoliopsida; Malvales; Malvaceae.
CAGGUUGUCUUGGGCAAGACUCUGCCUGGGAUUCCACAGAACAAGAUAUUGUGCAAAUCCAGUCCCUAAGGAUUUGACCCUACUUCCCUUUUACUAUUCUUUUUCAUUAUUUAUUAGGGAUAGGAUAUUUUUGGUGCUUUCAACGACCGCAUCAAAGUGGUUAAAUGGUAUGUGUGAUGUAUGUAUAAGAUAUGGAUUUGUGACAUUGAGUUGGACUAUUUUGGUAUGUGAACUGUGGUGCCACUUGAUGGCAUAUUAUUGAGGCACAUAGGAUGAAUGAUUUUGGCAUGUUUUAUGUGUUUUUAAAUGGGUUUGAACCAUGUGAAUG